This 675-nucleotide long non-coding RNA is filed under the name Salvia miltiorrhiza (redroot sage). RNAcentral's name for it is "long non-coding RNA (SMIL_LNC008416)". The record is from RNAcentral. Lineage: Eukaryota; Viridiplantae; Streptophyta; Magnoliopsida; Lamiales; Lamiaceae.
CAUCUAUCAUCCCGAAACCGUUGUAUCUUGGGGGCAAUUACUGUAGAUCCGCGAGCACAAAGCGGAAGUAAUUUUGCCUUACGGAGAGAGAAUUUAUUCUCGCCUCAGUUCUGCAUCCUUACAUUUAUCGUCAUUCUAUUUUCUACACUACCAAAUAACAUCUGCAACAUUAGAAAAUACAUAAAACAUAGUGAGAGGUGAGCAAGCUUGCCUUUGAGAGAGAGAGAGAGACCAAUCCAGCCAAUACUUUUCACAAACAUGUGGUGGGCAUGCUUAUACAUUGCAAUAACUCUGUUAUUCAAUUUAAUCUUUUGUCGAACAAUUGGUGUGCAAAAUAUUAACUGUUUCUAAAUGCACUUUACAUAAAAUAAUCACACUGCAAUGAGUUGAAAAACUCUCAAACAACCUACCCCAAAUAUUUAAAAUCAAGUCGACACUUGGGAGCUAAGGCCAUUGUCAUUAUAUCAAUCAUAAAUCAUUAAUAAAAUUAAUGAGUUGAACUAACGUAGCACAUGAGAAACCUAAAGCUUGACUGAAAACAUUGUAUAGAAUUACUACUUGAUUACCACAUUUCAAAGGCGCGGUCAUGGUGGCUUAAGAAAUCUCUUGUUGGCUUUCCAUGGCAGCGGCAGUACGAUACAACACAAAUUACAUUUUGUGGGGGCUGUGUGUAAU